RNA transcript from Mus musculus (house mouse), 2319 nucleotides. It is a transcript of the gene named cation channel, sperm associated 1, with no coding region annotated. The transcript is spliced from 12 exons. The record is from RefSeq and is marked validated. Lineage: Eukaryota; Metazoa; Chordata; Mammalia; Rodentia; Muridae.
GAGAAGAGUCAGAGCUCCCUGGAAGCCGGGGCUGUGGUUGGACUGAGCUUGGCUUGAGGGGAUCCCGAGAAGGGACUUUGGGUUAUACACCUGAGCUGUCUUUGUUCCAGGGGCUCCAAGACAGUCAUGGAUCAAUCUUCAAGGAGGGACGAGUCUUACCAUGAGACACACCCCGGUAGCUUAGACCCAAGCCAUCAAUCCCACCCCCACCCCCACCCCCACCCCACCCUGCAUAGGCCAAACCAAGGUGGCGUCUAUUACGAUUCUCCUCAGCAUGGGAUGUUCCAACAACCAUACCAACAGCAUGGUGGGUUCCAUCAACAAAAUGAAUUGCAGCAUUUGCGUGAGUUCUCAGACUCCCAUGACAAUGCUUUCUCCCAUCAUUCCUAUCAGCAGGACAGGGCUGGUGUCUCUACCUUACCUAAUAACAUCUCUCACGCUUAUGGUGGAUCGCACCCCCUUGCUGAGUCCCAGCACUCUGGUGGACCCCAGAGUGGACCUCGUAUUGACCCGAAUCAUCAUCCCCACCAAGAUGACCCCCAUAGACCCAGUGAACCUUUGUCCCACCCCUCCUCUACUGGCAGCCACCAAGGGACAACCCAUCAACAAUACCAUGAGAGGUCUCACCAUCUUAACCCCCAGCAGAACAGAGAUCAUGCAGACACCAUUUCCUAUCGCUCCAGUACGCGGUUCUAUCGCUCCCAUGCGCCGUUCAGUCGCCAGGAAAGACCUCAUCUCCACGCUGAUCACCAUCAUGAGGGCCAUCAUGCCCAUUCUCACCAUGGUGAACAUCCCCACCACAAGGAGCAACGGCACUAUCACGGAGAUCAUAUGCAUCACCAUAUCCAUCAUCGCUCCCCAAGUGCCUCCCAACUCUCACACAAGUCUCACAGCACACUUGCCACCUCUCCAUCUCAUGUGGGAUCGAAAAGCACAGCCAGUGGGGCUCGGUACACCUUUGGAGCUCGCUCUCAAAUUUUCGGCAAAGCUCAGUCCAGGGAGAGCUUGAGAGAAUCAGCCUCUUUGAGUGAAGGGGAGGAUCACGUUCAGAAACGCAAAAAGGCCCAGAGGGCCCACAAGAAGGCACACACCGGGAAUAUCUUCCAAUUGCUAUGGGAAAAAAUAAGCCAUCUCCUUUUGGGUCUUCAGCAAAUGAUAUUGUCACUGACCCAGUCCCUGGGCUUUGAGACCUUUAUCUUCAUCGUGGUCUGCCUCAACACAGUCAUCCUUGUGGCCCAGACUUUCACUGAGCUAGAGAUCCGAGGUGAAUGGUACUUCAUGGUCUUGGACUCCAUCUUCCUCUCCAUCUAUGUACUAGAAGCAGUCCUCAAGCUAAUUGCCCUGGGCCUGGAGUAUUUUUAUGACCCAUGGAACAACCUGGGUGGACUUCUUCAUCAUGGUCAUGGCAGUGCUGGACUUUGUGCUCCUUCAGAUAAACUCGCUCUCAUAUUCAUUCUACAACCACAGCCUGUUCCGGAUUCUCAAAGUCUUCAAAAGUAUGCGGGCCCUGAGGGCCAUCCGGGUUCUUCGGAGGCUCAGCAUCCUGACCAGCCUCCACGAAGUGGCCGGGACUCUGAGUGGAUCUUUACCAUCCAUCACGGCCAUCCUCACCCUCAUGUUUACCUGCCUCUUCCUCUUCUCUGUGGUUCUCCGAGCACUGUUUCAGGACUCAGACCCCAAGCGCUUCCAGAACAUCUUUACCACACUCUUCACCCUGUUCACCAUGCUCACCCUGGACGACUGGUCCCUCAUCUACAUAGACAACAGGGCCCAAGGCGCCUGGUACAUCAUACCGAUCCUCAUGAUUUACAUUGUCAUCCAGUACUUCAUCUUCCUCAACCUGGUGAUUGCUGUCCUGGUAGAUAACUUCCAGAUGGCGUUGCUCAAAGGCCUAGAGAAAGUGAAGCUGGAGCAAGCUGCCCGGGUCCAUGAGAAGUUGUUGGAUGACUCUCUGACAGAUCUCAACAAAGCAGACGCCAAUGCACAAAUGACCGAGGAGGCCUUGAAGAUGCAGCUUAUUGAGGGAAUGUUUGGCAACAUGACAGUGAAGCAGCGGGUGCUCCACUUCCAGUUCCUGCAGUUGGUGGCAGCGGUAGAACAGCAUCAACAGAAGUUUCGUUCCCAAGCGUACGUCAUCGAUGAGCUUGUGGACAUGGCAUUUGAGGCUGGAGACGACGACUACGGGAAGUGACCCUGAAGAAUACUAACCUGAGUUUCUGGCAAGCUACCUACCUCGGUGGGUUGGGACAUGGCCCUAAUGCUGCUGGUAUUAUCCAGAACCAUGUUGGACUGAGGUCCCAAUAGAGUUUUUAAAACCCC